UAGCAUUUCCAUAUGGGUGGAAUCCAUAAGGAUCAGCUGGUCAAUUCCUGCAAAGAAGUUGACUUGGAUUUUGAUGGAGAUUGCAUGGAAUCUGUUGAUUGAUUGAAGAAGUGUUGCCACCGUUAAGGUUAAGUCUUCUGAACCAUAAGCAUGGGAUUUUUUCUAAAUAUUUAGGUCUUUAAUGUCUUUCAACAGUGUUCUGUAGUUUUCAGUGUGCAGGUCUUAUAUUUGUUUUGCUAAGUUUACUUCUAAUAAAAAUAUUUAUAAAACUCUUUUUGGUACUAUCAUAACUGGAAAUGUUUUCUAAUUCAGUUUUCAGAAUGUUCAUUGCUAAUUUGUAGAAAUAAGCAGUUGAAUUCUGCGGAAUUUUUGUAUUAGUUAUAGUAAAUGUUAAGUGGAUUUCCUUGCAUUUUUUAAAUUUACAAGAUCAUGUUGUCUGGAAAUAGAAACAGUUUUACUUUUUCCCUUUCAUAUUUGGAUGCUUUUAAAUUUCUUUUUUUUAUCUUACUGCUCUGCCUGGAACUUCCAUUACAAUGUCAAAUGGAUGUGGUGUGAACAGAGAAUGCUGUUUCCUGGGCCCUGGAGAGCCGGCCAGAACCUGGGUGUGCAUGUCACGAAUCCAGCCUCCUGAGCCAAAGCCUCUGAUUCCUGAAGAACAAAUCUGCUGCUCCCUGUUACUGUUCACUGCAGAGCCACCAGCCUCCACAUUUGGUUACAUAAGGACACAGAAGCUGGAGCUCGUCCUUCUUCUGACCUGUUCGUCUGUCCUGAGGCUCAUCACUUUCUAUCGAAUCUGAGGGCGACGUCCACUGCAGUCCAUCAGGGGCUGUUUGGAAGCAGUACCUUCCGUCCUUGUGUCUUGACUGGCCUCACAGAGGCAGGAAGCUCCACGGGGCCCCGGAGAAGCUUUUCCCCAAGAAAGUGCUCCCAGGGCACAAACCACAGGGAAGGAACUGCUGUGUGUGUUGGGGGGACAUCUGUGGAGCCCUAGGUCCCUGAGGCCACCACGAUUCCCUGCACCGAAGCUGCUCGAGCCAGCCGCCCGCACCCCUGCACACCCGAGAGCAGUGGAGUACGUGUCCAGGUUGUGGUCCAAGCCCUUCCCAGGGGCACAGCGGCACCCCGAGGCUCGUCCUGUUUCUCUGGGGGCUGUUCUCACUGCCUCGUUUUGUGCAGAGUCGGGGAAAUGCAGGUGCCGAGGACCUGAGCUCGGAGACGUGUUGAGCUCCUUCAGUGGGGGUACCGAGGGGCUCGUGAAACCACCAGCUGCUUCUUCAUUUUGGUCUAAAACUGUGUGCGAGCCCAGAGGCUUUCCAGCAAAGCGGGAGUUGUCUUAUACGUCGAAUAACAGACUCGGACCCGGGGGCCCCCGCAAGUCCAGCUUAGGGCGCAGCCUCGCUGUGGACUUGUUCGCGGAAUGUCCAACCGCCCUGCGCAGAGCAGAGGCAGCACACAGAGCCUUCUGUGUUCUUGACCCUGCCCCCUGGGCAGCCACUUAUGGGACAAUGUGCAUGCCCGGGCCACCAUAUAAAGUGGCACCAGAGGCUUAGAAGUCCUCAGGUUUCUUAGGGUUGUUGUAAAUGACGAUCAUCUGCUUCCUUCUUCUCCAAGAAUAUGAAAAGAUUGUUUUAAAUCCACAAGGGACCGAGUCCGCCGUCUUCGUCAUGAACCAGCCACAAGCAUUAUUGGGUUACAGUCUCAGCUCACGGUCGAGCUGGGGAAGUGAGGCCCUCGGUGCUGCAAAGGAGCCCCCGUCCGGGAGUGCGGGGUCGAGAGGAAGUGACUGAAAACCCGGGGCGUCCUGAGACGAGGCAUCGUGGGUCAGCAGCAUCUGCAGGCAUCAGCCGCUGUUCAGCUGGCUUGAAGAGUAGAGAACAGCCUUGUCUGUGCGAGGCUUCGAAUCUAGGCGUUGAGAGACGUGGGCUGAGCGUUCACUCUGCCCGGUCAGCGGCCACACUUUCAGCGGGACGGGGGAGCGAACACCCAGCCACGGGGUCCCCACGCGGCACGCGGGAGCACAGAGAGGAGGAGGUGGUCCGGACUGUCCCCGGCAGGCGCGCUCCGGUUGGAAGGAGGACCUGCCGGCAAGUGUCCGCAGGACAGCGGGAGGCGGAGGAGCCGGGUGUGGAGUCCGAUUCGGCCCGUGUUGAGUGACAUCUCCCGGACAGGGAGGGUGUGGAGUCAAGGGUGGGGCGCACGCGCUCUCCUGCGUUGUUAGUCAGGGGCACGGUGAGCACCGCCCGAGAGAGGACGGGAGUGACUAAGGAGAUGAGGCCCCACUGGGGCGUCACCACGGCGCCGGUGGCCCUCCGGCCAGGCCCAUAGAGAAGGACACCUGCCCGGAGCGCGGGGCACGUCCCGUCCGGCUCACAGGGAGCCCGGGGCAGACAGAGGCCCGCCCGCCCUCGGGGCCAGCUCCGUGCCGGCCUUCUCCGGUGGCGCUGCGGCUGUCCUCGGGGUCCCCCGUGAGGAUGGGCCCCUGCUGGGGUCCCCCUUUAGAAGGACGGCCCCGAAGGGCGCUGACAGCGCGUGCCCACGACCGAUGGAAGAAGCAGUGGAAGAAACAACUCAAGUCGGGACGAUUCUUCCUUCCUGACACCGGGAAGCAGCAGCACGAAACCAACCGCGUCAUCAGAUUUUAUCACAAUCUCUCAUUCCUCGUGAGCGAGCGUGACUCGGAGUGGCGCCUGGGCUUCCUGGGCUUCUGCCCAGUGUGGGGGGCGUCUGCCAGACAGGACGGCAGCUGACUCCGUGUCCUCCUGACUCCUGCUUCCGUGGCCCUCCCCCAUGCCCGGCCCGCCCGUGUCCCUGCCACGGGGCUCCUUGAGCGCAGCCCGGCCCACGAGGGGGCGAGGGAGCGGCUGCCUCACACCGUGCAGCAUGGGCGGGGCUGCGGGCUCCGGGGUCCGCAUGGGGCACUGGCUCCUGCGCCCCGAGAGGCCGUAUCCCCGCCUAGCUUUGCUCGGGCAGACUCAUCCUGUGGGAGGGCAGCAGCCCCGGGGGUGUGUGUGUGUGGGGGGGGGGUCGUGUGGGGGGGGUGGGGCGUGUGGGGCCAUGGGGGCAAACCCCCUGAGGACGAGUCUCGGUGAACAUGCUGUCCUCUGGGCGGACAACAAGGGACGAAGUCGAGGGUCUCCCGUAGGUCUUCCGACGACUAGAGCGACAGCACGUUUCCACCUGGGCGUGGCGCCGGAAGUUCCUACCGUGGUCACAUGUCACGAAACAGCGUUUUUCUUGGGUUGUUCCUCAUCGUCUCUACGAGGCUAGAAGCCGUUCAGAGCUCAGAGGCCUGCAGAGCAGCUGGUAGGCUGCGGGGGCCCACGGGCCGUGGUCUGCUGGCCGUGGCCGCAUGGGCAGGUGCAGGGGAGUGUGUGCAGGGCGAGCGUGCAUGGGGCUGGGGGCUUCGGGCCCCUGAAGGCUGCCGCUGACUUCCACGCGGAGCUCGGUGACGUGCUCAGCCAGUGGCUGCGGGCCUGCCCACGGUCAACCGCGGCCUUCCGUACUCCUUGUUUAUAAAUAAAUCAUCUUUAUAAGUAAAUCACUUUUUUUUCUGGGUUGCAAACUGUAGUAAAAAACACUAAUAGCACUGAAUCAAAACGGGGCAGUCCUCUGGACUGUGAAGGGAGGGCUCCGGGGGGAGAAAUGGUGUUUGAUUUGGCUUCGUCCCCCGCGCUGGGCCCACGUGCUUCCGGCAACAAAGAAACGCUUGGUGAACUUAGGAGUCCGUCCUUGUCACCGGAGGGCACAGUGUCUUCAUGUGCAUUACCUGUGACAGUCUCUGGUUUUAACGAUUGUGUCAUUUGAAGCUUCCCAGAGCCCUGCAAAGCCUGGGGGCCUCGCCCUCACUUUACGGAGCAGAAACCAGCACAAAGGCAUUGGCGAAUGGUUUCCGUGUCGUGCUCACUCCGGUCGGGACUCCCCUGGGCUGGGGUCCUCAGAGGGGCUGGGCAGGCAGCCCUGGCCAGGCAGCUUUCCAAACCAGCUGAGAGACACUGACCUCAGGACCGUUGGGGCCCAGAACAGCAGCUUGGCCGCCCAUCCCAGAGGGCUUUCUGUGUUUUUUUCCAGCAUUUUCCUAAUGCAAGACUGAGACGUUCU
Mustela erminea (ermine) is the source of this 4098-nucleotide long non-coding RNA. RefSeq lists it as uncharacterized. NCBI's taxonomy places the organism in Eukaryota, Metazoa, Chordata, Mammalia, Carnivora, Mustelidae. The record is from RefSeq and is a predicted model, not a curated record. The transcript has 6 exons.